This 468-nucleotide ribosomal RNA is filed under the name uncultured bacterium. RNAcentral's name for it is "partial 16S ribosomal RNA". It matches the Rfam family "Bacterial small subunit ribosomal RNA", at positions 28 to 507 of the family's 1533-position model. The record is from RNAcentral.
GACGAACGCUGGCGGCGUGCUUAACACAUGCAAGUCGAACGGAAAGGCCCUGCUCUUGUGGGGGGCUCGGGUGGCGAGCGGGUGAGUAACACAAGAGUAACCUGACCUUGACUUUGGUAUAAGUUAACCAAAUUGGGGCGAAGACAGGACGGGAUCUCCUGGUGCUUGGGGGGGGUUGGAAAGUGUCGGCGGUUGUGUAUGGUCUCGCGGCGUUUCAGCUUGUUGGUGGGGUAGUGGCUUACGAAGGCUUUGACGGGUGGCCGGCCUGAGCGGGUGACCGGCAACAUUGGGACUGAGAUGCGGGCCAGCCGCGGACGGGAGGGAGCAGUGGGGGAUAGUGUACUGCGGCGGCGAGGCGGAUGCGGCAGCGCCGCGCGCGGGAUGAAGGCCUUCGGGUUGUGAACCGCUUUCGCCUGGGACGAAGGGGGAGUGACGGUAGUGGGUUAAGAAGCACCGGCUAACUACGUG